This 168-nucleotide ribosomal RNA is filed under the name uncultured bacterium. RNAcentral describes it as "partial 16S ribosomal RNA". It matches the Rfam family "Bacterial small subunit ribosomal RNA", at positions 338 to 524 of the family's 1533-position model. The record is from RNAcentral.
CCUACGGGAGGCAGCAGUGGGGAAUAUUGGACAAUGGGCGAAAGCUGAUCCAGCAAUGCCGCGUGAGUGAUGAAGGCCUUAGGGUUGUAAAGCUCUUUUACCCGGGAUGAUAAUGACAGUACCGGGAGAAUAAGCUCCGGCUAACUCCGUGCCAGCAGCCGCGGUAAU